RNAcentral lists this unclassified non-coding RNA (363 nucleotides) under uncultured bacterium. RNAcentral's name for it is "contains 16S-23S intergenic spacer region". The record is from RNAcentral.
UCCCCGCUUUACGGGGCAGUCUCGCCAGAGAAUAUAACUGGCAACAGGGGUUGCGUUCGUUACCCCACUGAAGGGAACGGUUCAAACCACGAACUGACGACAGCCAUGCAUCACCUGUCCUACACCCUCGAAGGCUUCCUCGGUUUCCCGAGGCGUGCAGUAGGAUUUCUAGCCCUGGUAAGGUUCUUCGCUUAGCGACGAAUUGAGCCACACGCUCCACCACUUGUGCAAGCCCCCGUCUAUUCCUUUGAGUUUUAGCCUUGCGGCCGUACUCCCCAGGCGGGAUGCUUAACGCGUUAGCUACGACACCUCCGGGGUCAAUACCGGAAACAUCUAGCAUCCAUCGUUUACGGCGUGGACUAC